ACUCAAAUGAAUUGACGGGGGCUCACACAAGCGGUGGAGCAUGUGGCUUAAUUCGAGGCUACGCGAAGAACCUUAUCCUGGGCUUGACAUGUGCGAAAGCGGUAGGAAGUAGGGGACGGAAACGCCCCCCCAACGGUAUCCAGUCCGGAACCUACUACAGGUGCUGCAUGGCUGUCGUCAGCUCGUGUCGUGAGAUGUCGGGUUAAGUCCCAUAACGAGCGAAACCCUUGUCCGUAGUUGCGACCAUUCAGUUGAGCACUCUACGGAGACUGCCGGUGUCAAACCGGAGGAAGGCGGGGAUGACGUCAAGUCCUCAUGGCCUUUAUGCCCAGGGCUGCACACGUGCUACAAUGGCGUGAACAAAGGGACGCAAGCCCGCAAGGGGGAGCCAAUCCCAAAAAGCACGCCCCAGUUCAGAUCGGAGGCUGCAACUCGCCUCCGUGAAGUUGGAAUCGCUAGUAAUCGCGGGUCAGCACACCGCGGUGAAUGUGUUCCUGAGCCUUGCACACACCGCCCGU
Molecule: ribosomal RNA, 518 nt
Filed under: uncultured bacterium
Lineage: Bacteria
Description: partial 16S ribosomal RNA
Rfam family: Bacterial small subunit ribosomal RNA
Source: RNAcentral